RNAcentral lists this ribosomal RNA (265 nucleotides) under uncultured bacterium. RNAcentral's name for it is "partial 16S ribosomal RNA". It matches the Rfam family "Bacterial small subunit ribosomal RNA", at positions 793 to 1055 of the family's 1533-position model. The record is from RNAcentral.
GUCCACGCUGUAAACGAUGGAUGCUAGCCGUCAGCAAGCAUGCUUGUUGGUGGCGCAGCUAACGCAUUAAGCAUCCCGCCUGGGGAGUACGGCCGCAAGGUUAAAACUCAAAGGAAUUGACGGGGGCCCCGCACAAGCGGUGGAGCAUGUGGUUUAAUUCGACGCAACGCGAAGAACCUUACCAGCCCUUGACAUGCCCGGACGGUUUCCAGAGAUGGAUUCCUCCUAGCAAUAGGUCGGGACACAGGUGCUGCAUGGCUGUCGU